CCUACGGGAGGCAGCAGUGGGGAAUAUUGGGCAAUGGGCGCAAGCCUGACCCAGCAACGCCGCGUGAAGGAAGACGGCUUUCGGGUUGUAAACUUCUUUUGACAGGGAAGCGCCGAAGACGGUACCUGUCGAAUAAGCCACGGCCAACUACGGGACAGCAGCCGCGGUAAUAGGUAGGUGGCAAGCGUUGUCCGGAUUUACUGGGUGUAAAGGGCGUGUAGCCGGGCUGACAAGUCAGAUGUGAAAUCCGGGGCUCAACCCACGAACUGCAGUUGAAACUGGUGGUCUUGAGUAGCGGAGAGGCAGGCGGAAUUCCUGGUGUAGCGGUGAAAUGCGUAGAUAUUAGGAGGAACACCAGUGGCGAAGGCGGCCUGCUGGACGACAACUGACGGUGAGGCGCGAAAGCGUGGGGAGCAAACAGGAUUAGAUACCCCUGUAGUC
Molecule: ribosomal RNA, 441 nt
Filed under: uncultured bacterium
Lineage: Bacteria
Description: partial 16S ribosomal RNA
Rfam family: Bacterial small subunit ribosomal RNA
Source: RNAcentral